CGCUGGUCUUCCCACACUGUUCUUGCUGUGAACCCCGUCAGGCCCGGAAGGGAGCAGCGGCAGCGGCGAGCACAGGUGCUGGGGCCGGGCUGGUGGGG
This 98-nucleotide signal recognition particle RNA is filed under the name Wenzhouxiangella sp. RNAcentral describes it as "signal recognition particle sRNA small type". It matches the Rfam family "Bacterial small signal recognition particle RNA". Rfam says of the family: The signal recognition particle (SRP) is a universally conserved ribonucleoprotein involved in the co-translational targeting of proteins to membranes. Archaeal SRP consists of a 7S RNA and homologues of the eukaryotic SRP19 and SRP54 proteins. In most bacteria, the SRP consists of a 4.5S RNA and the Ffh protein (a homologue of the eukaryotic SRP54 protein). Lineage: Bacteria; Pseudomonadati; Pseudomonadota; Gammaproteobacteria; Chromatiales; Wenzhouxiangellaceae. The record is from RNAcentral.